This is a long non-coding RNA of Solea senegalensis (Senegalese sole), 721 nucleotides long. RefSeq lists it as uncharacterized. The record is from RefSeq and is a predicted model, not a curated record. Lineage: Eukaryota; Metazoa; Chordata; Actinopteri; Pleuronectiformes; Soleidae. The transcript is spliced from 3 exons.
AAAGCACCAGGUACUAUUGAUGGUGGAGGUCAAAGGAGAAUUACCAGACUGGUUUAGAAAGAUAGAAAGACAGUAGUUAAUCAAAUAAACACUUGUUACAAGCACAAGGUAUGCAGAAGAGCAUCUCUGAACGCACAACAUGUCAAACCUUGAACACACGAGCUCCAGCAGCAGCAGCCGGAGACAACACAGGUGUCAGGUGAGUGUACAUUUCAGGUUUUCUGGGUGAAAAAACAAAAGAAAAGAAAACAAUGCUUGUAUAAAUUCCUCGGGUUUUUGAUGUGUUACACAAGCCACGAUAUCAUUAAUCAUCCAUUGUUUGCAGCAAUGCUCCAUCCUCUCCUCCUUCAGUGACUCUGGAGGUGCAGUGGAAACACAGAUGUCCCUCACGUUGUUCUGGUUCAGCGUCCUGCAGACGGCGUGUGCGGGGCUGAACAGGGAACUACUACACUGGGAAACACAGAAUGAGACGCAGGGAAAAGAGGACACUUUGGACAAUCGAUCGCAGCGGUAUCUGCCUGGUCUCGUCGCCAAGGUGACGGCCUACAGUAUCUCCGUGUCAAAGUUUUAGAGACACCGAACCAGGCUUUCAUAACACCUCGGCUGGAUUAUUGUAAUUCUCUGUAUGUGGACUUAGACCAGUCAUCUGUUCAACAACUCCAGCUGGUCCAGAGGCCACGUCACACCUGUUUCGCGCUCCCUCCACUGGCUUCCAAUUUGU